ACCACUAUUUUUAUGUAAAUCUGGGUAAUUUUGUUUGUAAUUAACCCUUUUCUUUUUGAAUAAAGGUAAUUAACCCUUUUCUUAAUUCAACUUAAUGAUUAAAUAACAAGACCGAUUCUCUCGAAAAAAAAUCUCAAGACCGGUUCUAUGCUACUAGGAUCAGAGUGUGUUAUUGGGCUUGAGAAGUUGGGUCAAGAGUAUAAAUUUAGACCCAACAGAUUGUUGUCACACUCUUGCUUUAGGUGCUGGGACUGAGAUAAUACCUUACUCCAUUUCCAAACAUAAUUUAUGAAGGCAACUCCGGGCUCUGGUACCCCGACAUGUGUUAAUCCAGGGCAGGGCGAUGUAGAAGGGGGCUCAGCUCAUCUUUAGUCCAUAACAUAUUCAGUUUUCUUUAAAUAUUUCUUCACAUAUAAAAUGGGCCACUCUAUGUAACAUAAAACGAUCCGUUUUUAUGGUGAGCCCAAUCUAUAUGCAAUUUUUGUUGACUUUCUUGAUUCACGUAACACUCGAAGUGAAGAGUUUGCAAAGGUGUCACCAAAAUUUCCCUGAAAAAAUUAAAUGACGUCUUCCCCGUUCAAGACAAUUUUUUAAUAUCAAUCAAGCACCCUCUUUCGUAAAAUCUUGAAUCCGACACUCAUCCAGGUAUACUUAAAAUAUAAUGAUAUUGUAAAUUUUCUUAUUUAUAAAUAACUUUAAAUUUAUUACAAUAUCGCUCUUAUAUUAUACACACACACACAUCAAUUUUAUGAGCUCUUUAUUGUUUAACCAAACAAAUUAGAUUAUUAUUUCUUUUGGCACGCAAUGUUCCAAUGUGCCUGAAGUUGCAAUCACUUGAAAAGAUUAAUGAAGCACAGAAUUUAGGAGAAAGAAUAAAAUCAUCAAAGUGGGGAUAAAUCUCUAGUAUAUCCUCUGGACCUCUUCUAAAUCCAUGUUUACACUCAGAGCACGCCCUCAGAAUUUGAAUCAAGCUAUGUGACGGGGAUAUAUGGUAGAGACAAGAGAUCUAUAUCCCAAGUUUAAACUAUACUUAAAAGUAGUUUUAGUUGAAGUCACAAAGUUCAUUAUAGUGGGAUCUCUUUCAAAAUUUUAAACUUAAUUUAGAGUAUAGUGUUUCGCUCUGAUACCAUAUCACAAAACACAGUUACUCCAUUAAAGUAACCAGAGAACAAGCUCAAGGAAGAAAACACUCUAUAUUGAUGCUAUGUAAAAAACAGAACG
This 1221-nucleotide long non-coding RNA is filed under the name Daucus carota (carrot). RNAcentral describes it as "long non-coding RNA (DCAR_LNC004482)". Lineage: Eukaryota; Viridiplantae; Streptophyta; Magnoliopsida; Apiales; Apiaceae. The record is from RNAcentral.